GACGAACGCUGGCGGCGUGCUUAAUACAUGCAAGUCAACUGAACUUGAGGUAGUAAUAUUUCAAGGGAGGUGGCGCACGGGUGAGUAACACGUAGGUAAUCUGCCUUUAGGUCUGACAUAAUUCCGCGAAAGCGGGACUAAUAUCAGAUGAUGCAGCGGCUCGACAUCGAGACAGUUGUUAAAUCUUCGGAGCCUAAAGAUGAGCCUGCGUCUGAUAGGUAGUUGGCGGAGUAAAAGCCCACCAAGCCUGCGAUCAGUAGCUGGUCUGAGAGGAUGAUCAGCCACACUGGAACUGAGACACGGUCCAGACUCCUACGGGAGGCAGCAGUAAGGAAUAUUGCUCAAUGGCCGAAAGGCUGAAGCAGCAACGCCGCGUGGAGGAUGAAAUACUUUUGUAUGUAAACUCCUGUAAGAAGGGAAAAU
This 423-nucleotide ribosomal RNA is filed under the name uncultured bacterium. Its description in RNAcentral is "bacterial SSU rRNA". It matches the Rfam family "Bacterial small subunit ribosomal RNA", at positions 28 to 449 of the family's 1533-position model. The record is from RNAcentral.